CAAAUUGACCAAACAGUAGAUUUUGUCUACAGCUGUACGGUCGAUCUGCUUUCGCUCGUAGUCAUGCUUCGGCAUGACUUCGUGUACACCUAAUGUGAAUUUUUGUACUUUGUUUCGGCAGCACUCUACUACUAAAACCUGUGGAGGUAAGGCUGUUGAUAGCCUAUGUUUUAAACUAGUUGAUAAAAUUUACAUGAUGUCUAAAUCUUUUUGAGAAAUCAAAUUACAAGUUA
Molecule: unclassified non-coding RNA, 233 nt
Filed under: soil metagenome
Description: partial internal transcribed spacer 1
Source: RNAcentral